UCACUGCGUUGUAAUGAGCUGCACGAUGGCUGUGAUGAUGCGACUCCUUUGUAGGCAGGUGCACAGGUCCACAGAGAGCCAAGUUGUCAUGUCCUUGCUCACUGCGUUGUAAUGAGCUGCACGAUGGCUGUGAUGAUGUGACUCCUUUGUAGGCAGGUGCACAGGUCCACAGAGAGCCAAGUUGUCAUGUCCUUGCUCACUGCGUUGUAAUGAGCUGCACGAUGGCUGUGAUGAUGCGACUCCUUUGUAGGCAGGUGCACAGGUCCACAGAGGACCAAGUUGUCAUGUCCUUGCUCACUGCGUCGUAAUGAGCUGCACAAUGGCUGUGAUGAUGCGACUCCUUUGUAGGCAGGUGCACAGGUCCACAGAGGGCCAAGUUGUCAUGUCCUUGCUCACUGCGUUGUAAUGAGCUGCACGAUGGCUGUGAUGAUGCGACUCUUUUGUAGGCAGGUGCACAGGUCCACAGAGGGCCAAGUUGUCAUGUCCUUGCUCAC
This is a long non-coding RNA of Patiria miniata (bat star), 494 nucleotides long. RefSeq lists it as uncharacterized. The transcript is spliced from 3 exons. The record is from RefSeq and is a predicted model, not a curated record. NCBI's taxonomy places the organism in Eukaryota, Metazoa, Echinodermata, Asteroidea, Valvatida, Asterinidae.